UCAAGCUGGAUCUGAUCCGAAAAAUACUGGGAAUCCUGGGGACACUGGCAAGCUUUUCACCGCUCGCUUGCCAGUGUCCCCAGCAUUCCCAGUAUUUUUCGGAUCAGAUCCAGCUUGA
Non-coding RNA from Pelobates cultripes (western spadefoot toad), 118 nucleotides. The record is from the annotation of a GenBank genome assembly. NCBI's taxonomy places the organism in Eukaryota, Metazoa, Chordata, Amphibia, Anura, Pelobatidae.